AAACCAGCACCUCAAGUGGUCAGGAUGAUUAUUGGGCCUAAAGCAUCCGUAGCCUGCUUUGUCAGUUUUCGGUGCAAUCCAUACGCUCAACGUAUGGGCUGCCGGAAAUACUGCAAAGCUAGGGAGUGGGAGAGGUAGACGGUACUCGGGAGGAAGGGGUAAAAUCCUUUGAUCUCUCGAUGACCACCUGUGGCGAAGGCGGUCUACCAGAACACGUCCGACGGUGAGGGAUGAAAGCUGGGGGAGCAAACCGGAUUAGAAAUCCGAGUAGUCC
This 274-nucleotide ribosomal RNA is filed under the name uncultured bacterium. RNAcentral describes it as "partial 16S ribosomal RNA". It matches the Rfam family "Archaeal small subunit ribosomal RNA", at positions 473 to 747 of the family's 1478-position model. The record is from RNAcentral.